RNAcentral lists this ribosomal RNA (468 nucleotides) under uncultured bacterium. RNAcentral describes it as "partial 16S ribosomal RNA". It matches the Rfam family "Bacterial small subunit ribosomal RNA", at positions 28 to 507 of the family's 1533-position model. The record is from RNAcentral.
GACGAACGCUGGCGGCGUGCUUAACACAUGCAAGUCGAACGAACAGGCCCUGCUUUUGUGGGGUGCUCGAGUGGCGAACGGGUGAGUAACACGUGAGUAACCUGCCCUUGACUUUGGGAUAACUUCAGGAAACUCGGGCUAAUACCGGAUAGGAGAUACUGAUGCAUGGUGGGGGUUGGAAAGUUUCGGCGGUUGGGGCUAGACUAGCGGCUUAUCCGCUUGUUGGUGGGGUAGUGGCGUACCAAGGUUUUGAAGGGUAGCCGGCAUUGGAGGGUGACCGGGCACAUUGGGACUGAGGGAGGGCCCAGAAUGCAACGGGAGGCAGAGGUCGAGAAUAUUACACAAUGGGCGGAAGCCUGAUGCAGCAACGCCGCGUGCGGGAUACCGUCCUUCGGGUUGUAAACCGCUUUCGCCUUUGACGAAGCGUGAGUGACGGUAAUGGGUAAAGAAGCACCGGCUAACUACGUG